This 427-nucleotide ribosomal RNA is filed under the name uncultured bacterium. Its description in RNAcentral is "bacterial SSU rRNA". It matches the Rfam family "Bacterial small subunit ribosomal RNA", at positions 355 to 774 of the family's 1533-position model. The record is from RNAcentral.
UGGGGAAUUUUGGACAAUGGGCGCAAGCCUGAUCCAGCAAUGCCGCGUGCAGGAUGAAGGCCUUCGGGUUGUAAACUGCUUUUGUACGGAACGAAAAGGCUCUGGUUAAUACCUGGGGCUCAUGACGGUACCGUAAGAAUAAGCACCGGCUAACUACGUGCCAGCAGCCGCGGUAAUACGUAGGGUGCAAGCGUUAAUCGGAAUUACUGGGCGUAAAGCGUGCGCAGGCGGUUUUGUAAGACAGUGGUGAAAUCCCCGGGCUCAACCUGGGACCUGCAUUUGUGACUGUAUAGCUAGAGUACGGUAGAGGGGGAUGGAAUUCCGCGUGUAGCAGUGAAAUGCGUAGAUAUGCGGAGGAACACCGAUGGCGAAGGCAAUCCCCUGGACCUGUACUGACGCUCAUGCACGAAAGCGUGGGGAGCAAACA